Orcinus orca (killer whale) is the source of this 335-nucleotide long non-coding RNA. RefSeq lists it as uncharacterized. NCBI's taxonomy places the organism in Eukaryota, Metazoa, Chordata, Mammalia, Artiodactyla, Delphinidae. The record is from RefSeq and is a predicted model, not a curated record. The transcript has 2 exons.
CAGCGCCAGAGGGGGGCGCGGAGACCCUUCCUCGAUGCCCCACACAUCCAUGGCCCUGUGUUAGCCUCACGGAAGCUCAUCUUACUUGGAAAACGGGAGACCCCAGACACCAGCCACUCAAGGUCACUGGAACUUCCCACCAUCCGGACUCCCAUUGGCCAGUGGAGGGGGAACCAGCCCACCGGCCCGCUGAGCCCUGGACCCACCAAGGCCACAAGGAGAGCCCCACCCAGCCACCAGGAGUCCCUCCGUGUGUCCAGAGGCACGUGGCACGAGCCCGCACCCUCAGGAAAUAACUGGCCGGUCGACAGUGGAACACGAGUGAUUUUAAACCA